GAUGAACGCUGGCGGCGUGCCUAAUACAUGCAAGUCGAGCGAACAGACGAGGAUCUUGCUCCUCUGACGUUAGCGGCGGACGGGUGAGUAACACGUGGAUAACCUACCUAUAAGACUGGGAUAACUUCGGGAAACCGGAUCUAAUACCGGAUAAUAUAUUGAACCGCAUGGUUCAUUAGUGAAAGACGGUUUUGCUGUCACUUAUAGAUGGUUCCGCGCCGCAUUAGCUAGUUGGUAAGGUAACGGCUUACCAAGGCAACGAUGCGUAGCCGACCUGAGAGGGUGAUCGGCCACACUGGAACUGAGACACGGUCCAGACUCCUACGGGAGGCAGCAGUAGGGAAUCUUCCGCAAUGGGCGAAAGCUUGACGCAGCAACGCCGCGUGAGUGAUGAAGGUCUUCGGAUCGUAAAACUCUGUUAGUAGGGAAGAACAAAUGUGUAAGUAACUAUGCACGUCUUGACGGUACCUAAUCAGAAAGCCACGGCUAACUACGUG
Molecule: ribosomal RNA, 497 nt
Filed under: uncultured bacterium
Lineage: Bacteria
Description: partial 16S ribosomal RNA
Rfam family: Bacterial small subunit ribosomal RNA
Source: RNAcentral